GCCGCCAUCAGGCCUCACCUCAGCUCCUCUGCUCUGCGCUGAGCAAACUGACAGCCUCAGCUGCUCCUCAUAUCUUACCAAACAUCAGAGGCCUCACUGAGAGGUUUGCUGUACCUUGAGUUUUGAUCUCACUAGCACCUUGGCAAUCUGAAUAUGAAAGUUAAAUACACAGGAAACACGGUUUCAUUACUUUUCUCGCUGUAGCAAUUAGCGUUUGCUUAGUAUAGAAUCACACUGCCUUAAUCUUGCAAGUUGCAGUCACACAGAUUCUGACAACAGCAUCCUCAACUAACUUUCUGAUUGUCUUCUGCAGGAAGUGAAGGUUUGUUGGUCCUGGCUGAACAAGUGAAAUCACAAAAGAGCCGUUCUGCAAGUACACAGAGAGGAAAUGGCCACGUCCCUGAAAAAAUGGAUUUUGUGUCUUUGUGUAAUAAAAGAAAGCGACUUGCCCCUACUCCAGUGGGACAGAAUGUGAUUAGAACCAGCGAAGGAGAAUAUGAAGACAGUGAGA
This is a non-coding RNA of Phasianus colchicus (ring-necked pheasant), 511 nucleotides long. The record is from RefSeq and is a predicted model, not a curated record. NCBI's taxonomy places the organism in Eukaryota, Metazoa, Chordata, Aves, Galliformes, Phasianidae.